This 348-nucleotide ribosomal RNA is filed under the name uncultured bacterium. RNAcentral describes it as "bacterial SSU rRNA". It matches the Rfam family "Bacterial small subunit ribosomal RNA", at positions 8 to 350 of the family's 1533-position model. The record is from RNAcentral.
AGAGUUUGAUCAUGGCUCAGGAUGAACGCUAGCUACAGGCUUAACACAUGCAAGUCGAGGGGCAGCAUGUUGGUUGCUUGCAACCAACGAUGGCGACCGGCGCACGGGUGAGUAACGCGUAUCCAACCUACCCUUGUCCAUCGGAUAACCCGUCGAAAGGCGGCCUAACACGAUAUGCGGUUCACGGCAGGCAUCUAAGGUGAACGAAAUGUGAAGGAGAAGGAUGGGGAUGCGUCUGAUUAGCUUGUUGGCGGGGUAACGCCCACCAAGGCUACGAUCAGUAGGGGUUCUGAGAGGAAGGUCCCCCANAUUGGAACUGAGACACGGUCCAAACUCCUACGGGGAGCA